UUUCAAUGUGUUGGGUUAGUUUUAGGUUUCUUUAUCAGUUCAAAUAUUUAAAAUUUCAUCAGAUUUUUAAACUUUCAUCCCAUAAAUAUGUUGAAAUUCCACCAUAAAUCGGCUCAUAAAUCAGUAGUUUGAUCAUAUUUUUAUCAACCCAUAAAUCAAUAGUUUGUACCAAAAAAGUUUGAUGGGUUUUGAUUUCUAAAAUUUGAAAUGGAUUUGAUGGGUUUUAUUCGCAGAAAUCUGCAGAAAUUCGAAGUCGUUUCGCUUGAGACAUCAUCCCCAAGAACAAGUUUUCUGGCUUCGGCGCUUUCCGGCACAUCCCCGCUGGACAUUUGCGGCUGUGUCAACCUGCCCCAUCAUUGUAAGGAAAGAUAAAUCAUGCAUCAAUGAACUAUUGCGAAACAUUGUAAACACAAACAAGAAAUCACUUCACAUAGGACCAUCAGGUUCGAUUGCAUUAACUGUCAGAAGGUUCUAGCAUUUGCAAGGUUUGGCUUUGACACAUCUGUGGUGGAUACUAUACCUUAUAUGUGGGUUGUGUGAAAAAAGUAUAGCUAGCAAUUACAUACUGCUUUGGCAACAAUCUCUGUAUUGUGGAGGACAUCAC
Camellia sinensis is the source of this 604-nucleotide non-coding RNA. The record is from RefSeq and is a predicted model, not a curated record. NCBI's taxonomy places the organism in Eukaryota, Viridiplantae, Streptophyta, Magnoliopsida, Ericales, Theaceae.